RNAcentral lists this ribosomal RNA (238 nucleotides) under uncultured bacterium. RNAcentral's name for it is "partial 16S ribosomal RNA". It matches the Rfam family "Bacterial small subunit ribosomal RNA", at positions 796 to 1041 of the family's 1533-position model. The record is from RNAcentral.
CACGCCGUAAACGAUGGAUACUAGCUGUUCGGUGCAAACUGAGUGGCUAAGCGAAAGUGAUAAGUAUCCCACCUGGGGAGUACGUUCGCAAGAAUGAAACUCAAAGGAAUUGACGGGGGCCCGCACAAGCGGUGGAGCAUGUGGUUUAAUUCGAUGAUACGCGAGGAACCUUACCAAGGCUUAAAUGUAGAUUGACAGGACUGGAAACAGUUUUUUCUUCGGACAAUUUACAAGGUGC